CCCGCCUCCCUGCCAGCCUCCAGCCUCCAUCCCAGCCUCCGUGCCCGGCUGCCUCUCUCCCUCCCUCCCGCCUUCUCUCGCCGCCGGAACGGAACCGAAAGCAAAGGCGGCGCCGGGCGGCCCCGCUCCGGCCCCGGGGGCCGCGCCCUUCCCCACGGCCCGGCCCGGCUCGGCUCGGCUCGGUACGGCCCGGUCAGGUGCAGAAGUCCCGUUCUUGCCAAGGAGGAAGCAGGGAGGAGGAGAAGCCGUGUGGAUGCGGCGCGGUGGGCGGAGGUGUUGAGCCUCGGGGCUGAUCCCACACCCCGCGCUUGGUGCACGUCCCCGUCGGAGCACCGCCGGCAGCCGGGAUGAGGCCGGCGGCCUCGCCAUGCCCUCGUGCGUCCCCGGCAGCUCACCCGCGGCCCCCCGGCCCCUGCACCGUGACGGAGGGCGCAGCCAAGCACCCGGGCCACCGCUGAGCGCCCGCCGCCGCGCCAUGGAGUCGCUCAUCGUGGUGACCGAGUGCGAGGCGACGGGGAUGGCGAGCGAGGAGGAGAUGAGCGCGGCCGCCGGGGAGGAUGGCCGGGAGCCGAGGGCGAAGCUGAACCUCUCCGGCCGAAAGCUGUCCCUGCAGGAGCGCUCGCACACCGCGCACUCGCCCGGCAGCAGCGACGGCGCCAGCGAGCGCUUUAUCUACCCGUCCCUGCCCUACUCGCCGGUGACGUCCCCGCACUCGUCCCCGCGCCUGCCGCGGAGGCCGACGGUGGAGUCCAACCGAGUCUCCAUCACGGGACUGCAGGACUGCGUCCAGCUCAACCAGUACAAGCUGAAGGAUGAGAUCGGGAAGGGCUCCUACGGCGUGGUGAAGCUGGCCUACAACGAGGACGAUAACACCUACUAUGCAAUGAAGGUUCUCUCCAAAAAGAAGCUGAUGAGGCAGGCGGGCUUCCCCCGCCGCCCGCCGCCCCGCGGGGCCAAAGGCGCCUCGGAGGGCUGCGUGCAGCCCAAGGGGCCCAUUGAGCAGGUCUACCAGGAAAUCGCCAUCCUGAAGAAGCUGGACCACCCCAACGUGGUGAAGCUGGUGGAGGUGCUGGAUGACCCCAGCGAGGACCACCUGUACAUGGUGUUUGAACUGGUGAAGCAAGGCCCCGUGAUGGAAAUCCCCACCCUGAAACCUCUCAGCGAGGACCAGGCUCGGUUCUACUUCCAGGACCUGAUCAAGGGCAUUGAAUACUUGCACUAUCAGAAGAUAAUCCACCGGGACAUCAAACCUUCCAACCUCCUCGUGGGGGAGGACGGGCACGUCAAGAUCGCCGACUUCGGCGUCAGCAAUGAGUUCAAGGGAGCCGAUGCCCUCCUAACCAACACGGUGGGCACCCCCGCCUUCAUGGCCCCGGAGACGCUCUCAGAAACCAGGAAAAUCUUCUCUGGAAAGGCUUUGGACGUCUGGGCCAUGGGAAUCACGCUGUACUGCUUCGUGUUUGGGCAGUGUCCUUUUAUGGAUGAAAGGAUCCUGAGUUUACACAAUAAAAUCAAGACCCAAACGUUGGAGUUCCCAGACCAGCCAGAAGUUACAGAUUUCUUGAAGGAUCUGAUUACACGUAUGCUGGAUAAAAAUCCCGAAUCGAGGAUUUCGGUCCCUGAAAUUAAGGCAAGUACCUUGCAACAGCCUUUGGCAGGAGAUUUCUGGUCCUUCGCCCCUGCGGGAACCUGGAAGGGGCGAGAAGCUGAGAAAAUGGAGACGAAGGCUGUGUUAUUAAUUGAAGUUGCACCCUUGGGUCACCAAGAACGGAGCGGAGCUGCUGCCCACCGAGGACGAGAACUGCACCCUGGUGGAGGUGACGGAGGAGGAGGUGGAGAAUUCGGUCAAGCACAUCCCCAGCCUGGCCACCGUGAUCUUGGUUAAAACGAUGAUCCGGAAGCGAUCCUUUGGGAACCCGUUUGAGGGCAGCCGGCGGGAGGAGCGCUCGUUGUCCGCCCCUGGAAACCUGCUGCCGAAGCAAGGCAGUGAAGAUAACCUGAAAUGCAACGACUUGCCUAACGUGGGAGAGGAGGAAGUCCUUUCGUGAACGGCCGCUUUACGGUUCUGUUGAGCAACUCGGUCUGGGGCAUGUUCUAAAGCUUGCGGCUGAGGAUGAGCGACAUUAACAGAGCCCACACCAAACGCAGCAUGACGCGGCGCUAUUUCAGUGUAACGCUGGGUGUAGAGCUUACAUAGCAGCAUGUUGUAAGACAUCCGACUACCGUAUCCGUCAUAACCAUUGAACAUCUCUGAUUGCUUGGACCGCAGACUUCUCGUGGGGGGAAAAAAAAGGUGCUGGCAGAUCCCGGAGAGGUGAGCGAUGGUGUUGAGCAGCAACAGCGCAUUGCAAAAAAAAAAAAAAAAAAAAAGAAAAAAAUGCAGUCAGACAAAAAAGGUGUUUGGAACUUCUUUUGCCUGCCAAAAAAAAUUCCAGGCACUAUCGCCAACGUCCCAGGGGUGUUGUAUGCCCAUCUCGUGCGCACGUGCAGAAGUGUGAAGCUUUUGCAGAGCGGCAUGCGCGAUAUAAAACUACACUCAUGCACUUUGAGGGUUCAUGACCUGCCAGAAAUGUUGCAUCUAUUUCUUGUCGUUCUGUUCUGGUUUUAAUUGACACCUUUUUAACUGCAUGGGAACAAAGCAAAACCCACCUUUUCAGCUUUUUUUUAAGAAUGCCUACCUUUGUGAGCCGAGUUGUAUUAAACGGCAUCUUCAGGACAUUCAGAAAGUGAGGCUAAUUGCAGCGUUUGAGGACGCUGCCUCUCCUGAGGUCUUGGUGUUGGUGGGACUGCCAAUGGGUAAGUUCAACACUCAGUGUAUGAAAGGAAAAGGUACUUAAGGGCUUAAGUUCAGUCUGAACUAUUUUUGCUGCAGACAUAGAGUGAAAGGUGGUGUUUAGCUGAAUGUUUUGAACAGCAGAGGAAGCACUAACAAGUCUGUUUCUAAAUCUUUUACUUGAUCUAGAUAGCUAUACUAGUAAAUAUAAAAUUCAGGGUAAAAUCCUUCACUUCCAUGUACAUUACAUGGUUUACUACAAUUAAAAAUAAUACAACUUAACGCUAUUUUUUAAGUAUAGAUUUAGGGCUUGCUUAGACUUUAAGAUCUUAAUGAAAUACUUAGAUUAGCUAGUAAUUUUCAAAGAAACCUUUGUUUUCCAAACUCUUCAUUUGGAUUUUGGGGCCAAUGCUGUGUACUUUUUGCAAGUUCGUUACCAGUAAUUUGUGAAUGCCUGUGGAUCAGAGGCUUGUUAGUAAUUUAAGUGUAUACCUAAUUCAUGGAUUGUUUCUUAUGAAGAGCUCCUUCACCUGCAGUCAAAUUUCUCUGAUCAUUUUGUGGUGCUUGUUAAAAAAAAAAAAAAAAAAAAGUAGUGGGAGAGACUCUGGCUUCUGGACUCACGUUCACAAGAUCUCUGUGCUCAGACAAAGCUGGAGAGCGGCAGCGUGUAGGUGAGCUGGCGGAGAUCAGGGUUUGGCUGAGCGAAGGGGUCCGGGUAAGUACGGCUGUCUGUGGCUGGAGCGUGGGGCCGGGAGGAGAAGGUCGGACUUCUUGUCUCAGCCUCGCGACUGAUGCGGUUCUGCUGGGAGAGGAGGAUCCAAACAUCCCGAGCAUGCGAGGGACAGUUAGGCUGAACUCUUUGCCCUGAGGGUGCUUUAGGAAACCGAAGUGUUAGGGGUGGUGGGAUGGCUGCCCGCUGACCCGGCCACAGCUGCCCUGUUGUAGGCUUUUAGGACGUGACUGUUCCCUUGUCUUCCGUCACCUUGGGCGCCGCUGGCAGCAGAGCGCUGAGGCUCUUGGCUGCGGUCGGACCUGGCCCAGUAAGUCCUGGCUCUGACCGGUCCUUGUUGAAGUCGGGUGGUGUUAGUGAGCGCAGAGGUGCCUACACAAACUGCCCCGUACGUCUUUUGAUCACCUGAAGCGAUGCUCCCCUUAGGUCGCAAUUCAUUACCGAAAGAUUGUGCUGCUGGCCUCUCUCCAAAACCAGUGCCUCUGGUUUGUGAUUUGGGAGCAGUACGGUGGAAUUCAGGGCCAUGUUUUCCUCCCAUUUUUCGUCCAAGGCUAUGCCAAAGCCCUGCAGCUUCAGCUAUGGGAAAACCAAACAGGUAACUUGGUUGCCAGCACUACUCCAGCUGCCUCCUCCCCUGUCUCUGAACAGGAUUUGUUCAUCGUGGAAACGAUGAUUGGGAGUGGGCAGCUUGGUUCUAUAACCUUGUAAAUGGACUUAUUCUGAGGGAAAAAAAAAAAGGAAAAAAAAAAAAAAGGGGAUCUGAUUACUUGUAGCUAGUGCGUAGUGAUGUGUGUGGUGUGUUUUUGUUAGAGGUGAGUGAGCUGUAGCGAUGCUCCAUGCUGAGCGUCUCCAGCUGGUGAUUUGGCAGGUACCUAGCAAGACAGUUUAAAUUUACCAAACAGGAUUGCCAGGUGCAAUGCAGCUUCUGAACAGAACAACCUCCACCAGUUCCUUGAUGCCCAGUCACAGUUACUGGGACUCGGAUGCUAGCAUAGAUCGGUGUCUUACGGCCAGUGUGGGCUUGGUUCGUACGGAUCCUAAGGCUGAGCACUUCCCGAAGGUGCUCUGCAAAAGGCUUGUCUCUUAGUGCCAGCUCUGGUAAGGCUGCAGCCAAAUGCACGUUUCCAAAAGAAACUCGAUGUAGAUUUUCUUGUUGAUUCGUUCUGUUGAAAGCGUAAAGCUUGGGUGUGUGAGGAAGAUGUAUCUCAAUGCAUGACCUGUUAGAGAAGCUGUAUUGUAUGUUUCAAUCUGCCCAGUUCCCUGUCUGCUGUUCCUCGGUAAUAAAGCUCGCUUUUUUUCUUAUAGUGAAGUAAACAUUUUGCUUUAAACAUUUUGCUUGUGCCUUGGAACUGGGCUACAGCUUGAUUUCCCCAAUUCCCCUCCUUUCAAGCGAGCCCAGUGCUGACUGUGGGGUUAAUGCUGGGUACUUUUGGGCUCUGAAAGCACACAGGAAAGUGCUAUGGGGAAACCAGGCCUCUUGUGCUGAGUAGUUUUCUUGGUGGUCCCCUCCCACCGAUCAGGCAACUGAUCUGUUUCUUUUCUAGAGUCCUGAAUAUUGGCAAAUUUUUAUACUGUUUGUUUAAUGACCAAGGCUUGUGUUUCAUUCUUACCCCUUUAUUAUGCAUUUAACUUUAUCAGGUGUAUCAAGUUUAAAUACUGUGUAUUUACCACUUUUAAAUUAUAUUACCUAAGAAGAAAACAACUAAGUGUUUUUCCACACAGCUGUUCAAGCUUCUCUGUACAAGUUGAAAUAAAUGACAUGCAACCACA
This is an RNA transcript of Cygnus olor (mute swan), 5273 nucleotides long. It is a transcript of the gene named calcium/calmodulin dependent protein kinase kinase 2, with no coding region annotated. The transcript is spliced from 18 exons. NCBI's taxonomy places the organism in Eukaryota, Metazoa, Chordata, Aves, Anseriformes, Anatidae. The record is from RefSeq and is a predicted model, not a curated record.